AAAGAUUUAGUUAAAUUUAUAACGUAGGAUUGUCAAUUCUAAAUUGUCUGCAAUCUUUU
Molecule: transfer RNA, 59 nt
Filed under: Pleurocryptella fimbriata
Lineage: Eukaryota; Metazoa; Arthropoda; Malacostraca; Isopoda; Bopyridae
Also listed under: 1 other name
Description: tRNA-Asp
Source: RNAcentral